RNAcentral lists this ribosomal RNA (432 nucleotides) under uncultured bacterium. RNAcentral's name for it is "partial 16S ribosomal RNA". It matches the Rfam family "Bacterial small subunit ribosomal RNA", at positions 29 to 507 of the family's 1533-position model. The record is from RNAcentral.
ACGAACGCUGGCGGCAUGCCUAACACAUGCAAGUCGAACGAGACCUUCGGGUCUAGUGGCGCACGGGUGCGUAACGCGUGGGAACCUGCCUUUAGGUUCGGAAUAACUCAGAGAAAUUUGAGCUAAUACCGGAUGAUGUCUUCGGACCAAAGAUUUAUCGCCUUUAGAUGGGCCCGCGUUGGAUUAGCUAGUUGGUGGGGUAAAGGCCUACCAAGGCGACGAUCCAUAGCUGGUCUGAGAGGAUGAUCAGCCACACUGGGACUGAGACACGGCCCAGGCUCCUACGGGAGGCAGCAGUGGGGAAUAUUGGACAAUGGGCGAAAGCCUGAUCCAGCAAUGCCGCGUGAGUGAUGAAGGCCUUAGGGUUGUAAAGCUCUUUUACCCGAGAUGAUAAUGACAGUAUCGGGAGAAUAAGCUCCGGCUAACUCCGUG